GGCCCGGUGGUGGAUGGCCCACACCUGCGUCUAUUGCACGACGUCAAAGGGAUACAGCAGGGGAACCCCGUUCGAUUCGGGGCCGGGCCA
Mycena galericulata is the source of this 90-nucleotide non-coding RNA. NCBI's taxonomy places the organism in Eukaryota, Fungi, Basidiomycota, Agaricomycetes, Agaricales, Mycenaceae. The record is from the annotation of a GenBank genome assembly.